CAAGUCGAGCGAACUGAUUAGAAGCUUGCUUCUAUGACGUUAGCGGCGGACGGGUGAGUAACACGUGGGCAACCUGCCUGUAAGACUGGGAUAACUUCGGGAAACCGAAGCUAAUACCGGAUAGGAUCUUCUCCUUCAUGGGAGAUGAUUGAAAGAUGGUUUCGGCUAUCACUUACAGAUGGGCCCGCGGUGCAUUAGCUAGUUGGUGAGGUAACGGCUCACCAAGGCAACGAUGCAUAGCCGACCUGAGAGGGUGAUCGGCCACACUGGGACUGAGACACGGCCCAGACUCCUACGGGAGGCAGCAGUAGGGAAUCUUCCGCAAUGGACGAAAGUCUGACGGAGCAACGCCGCGUGAGUGAUGAAGGCUUUCGGGUCGUAAAACUCUGUUGUUAGGGAAGAACAAGUACAAGAGUAACUGCUUGUACCUUGACGGUACCUAACCAGAAAGCCACGGCUAACUACGUGCCAGCAGCCGCGGUAAUACGUAGGUGGCAAGCGUUAUCCGGAAUUAUUGGGCGUAAAGCGCGCGCAGGCGGUUUCUUAAGUCUGAUGUGAAAGCCCACGGCUCAACCGUGGAGGGUCAUUGGAAACUGGGGAACUUGAGUGCAGAAGAGAAAAGCGGAAUUCCACGUGUAGCGGUGAAAUGCGUAGAGAUGUGGAGGAACACCAGUGGCGAAGGCGGCUUUUUGGUCUGUAACUGACGCUGAGGCGCGAAAGCGUGAGGAGCAAACAGGAUUAGAUACCCUGGUAGUCCACGCCGUAUACGAUGAGUGCUAAGUGUUAGAGGGUUUCCGCCCUUUAUUGCUGCAGCUAACGCAUUAAGCACUCCGCCUGGCGAGUACGGUCGCAACACUGAAACUC
This 864-nucleotide ribosomal RNA is filed under the name Priestia megaterium. Its description in RNAcentral is "bacterial SSU rRNA". It matches the Rfam family "Bacterial small subunit ribosomal RNA", at positions 58 to 902 of the family's 1533-position model. The record is from RNAcentral. Lineage: Bacteria; Bacillati; Bacillota; Bacilli; Caryophanales; Bacillaceae.